Molecule: ribosomal RNA, 253 nt
Filed under: uncultured bacterium
Lineage: Bacteria
Description: partial 16S ribosomal RNA
Rfam family: Bacterial small subunit ribosomal RNA
Source: RNAcentral
UACGAAGGGGGCUAGCGUUGCUCGGAAUGACUGGGCGUAAAGCGCACGUAGGCGGCUCUUUAAGUCAGAGGUGAAAUCCUGGGGCUCAACCCCAGAACUGCCUUUGAUACUGAGGAGCUUGAGUCCGGGAGAGGUGAGUGGAACUGCGAGUGUAGAGGUGAAAUUCGUAGAUAUCAGGAGGAACACCAAUGGCGAAGGCAGCUCGCUGGGACGUGACUGACGCUGAGACGCGAAAGCGUGGGGAGCAAACAGG